RNAcentral lists this ribosomal RNA (253 nucleotides) under uncultured bacterium. RNAcentral describes it as "partial 16S ribosomal RNA". It matches the Rfam family "Bacterial small subunit ribosomal RNA", at positions 524 to 776 of the family's 1533-position model. The record is from RNAcentral.
UACGAAGGGGGCUAGCGUUGCUCGGAAUCACUGGGCGUAAAGCGCACGUAGGCGGAUCUUUAAGUCAGGGGUGAAAUCCCAAGGCUCAACCUUGGAACUGCCUUUGAUACUGGGGAUCUCGAGUCCGGAAGAGGUGAGUGGAACUGCGAGUGUAGAGGUGAAAUUCGUAGAUAUUCGCAAGAACACCAGUGGCGAAGGCGGCCAACUGGUCCGGUACUGACGCUGAGGUGCGAAAGCGUGGGGAGCAAACAGG